Molecule: long non-coding RNA, 3453 nt
Filed under: Homo sapiens (human)
Lineage: Eukaryota; Metazoa; Chordata; Mammalia; Primates; Hominidae
Description: long non-coding RNA NONHSAT163579.1
Source: RNAcentral
CCCAGUUCUCAGGCGAGAGCCGCGGCUGACAGGGUCUGGGACAGAAGGAAAGCCCUCCAGCUCCCCCUUGGCCUCGCCCUUGCCGGAGCAGGGGGGCUCGGCGGGCGGGUCGCCGCCACCGCAGUAGGCGUUGUCGAAGAAACGGUCGAAGGCUUGAGGCAGGACGCUGUUCUUGUUGACUGAGGAGUAGAAGCCGGCGGGGGUUGCGUGCGGGGCGCUGGGGUGGUGGUGGCCGCCGUAGGAGCCUUCGUUUUUCAUGAGGAUCUCGGUGACGGUGGAAGGAGGCAGGCACUCCCGGUGCAUAAGCUCGUCGGCCGCCGCAUAGCAGGAGGAGUAGCUGUUCCGAUGGUGCCACUUGCCGGAUGGCUCCAGGCCGUAGGAGACCUCCCGGACCGGGGGCACUUGGGCCGAGUAGGGAUAGGAGAUCUGACGAGAGGGGGCCUGGGGCAGGAAGGAGGAGACCGUGGAGAACUCGGGCAUGUAGUAAGUGCAACUGGGCAGAUAGAGGUUGGAGGCGCAGCUCCCUCGCUCGCCGAAAUCUGCGCCCCUCUCCUUGCGCGACGGAGAGCAGAAGUUGCCCAGGUUGACCGAGUUAAACAUCGUUCUCCUCUCCUGCCGGCUCCGGAUGGAGGUUUUGGACCCGGUCUAGCGAGGGGGGAAAAUUUGGGAAGGCGAGAUGACGCGUUAUCCGUCUUAGUCUCUCUCUCUCUGAGCACGUGAUCCAAAGUAGAUAUUGUCAUAUAUCAGUUCGGAGCACUUCGCAGACGUAGGAGGGGUUCUCUCUUAGAGACACCGCCUGUUCACAAGAGUUUGAAGAAGUCCACUCUUUUCCUGGCCAGAGCUGGGUGUCAAGACUACCUUUCUGGAGUCCUUAGAGAGACUCCCGGAAGAGUAUCUGAAGUUUCCCAAAGCUAAUCAAUCCAAAAGGAAAAAGAAAAGAGAGGGGUGGGAAGGCAUGGGGUGAAAAACUUCAGGUGACACAAAGCAAAAAGAUUCCAGUCACCAAAAACAAAAACAAAAAAAAAUCUUUUGCCCCCAGCAAGAAUCAUUUGUUUGGGAUCUGUUCCAGCCUCCAGGCCCUGCCUUCUGCCUGCACAUUCUGCCCUGAUUUCCGGAACCUGGAAGCCUAGGCAGGCAGUGGGGAACUCUGACUCGCCUGUGCUCUGGAGCUUGAUCCGAAAGCUUCCACAGUGAGGACUGCUCCGUGGGGGUAAGAGAGCACCAGGCACUGAGGCCUGGGAGUUCCACAGACCAACACCCCUGCUCCUGGCGGCUCCCACCCGGGACUUAGACCCUCAGGUCCCUAAUAUCCCGGAGGUGCUCUCAAUCAGAAACAUCUUUCUUUGCUAGCUGCCCGGGUCCUGCUCCGCUUCGCAGUGGAAUGGAACGGAUUUAGAAGCCUGCAGUAGGGGAGUGGGGAGUGGAGAGAGGGAGCCCAGAGUUACAGACGGCGGCGAGAGGAAGGAGGGGCGUCUUUAUUUUUUUAAGGCCCCAAAGAGUCUGAUGUUUACAAGACCAGAAAUGCCACGGCCGCGUCCUGGCAGAGAAAAGGCUGAAAUGGAGGACCGGCGCCUUCCUUAUAAGUAUGCACAUUGGCGAGAGAAGUGCUGCAACCUAAACCAGCAAUUACACCCAAGCUCGUUGGGGCCUAAGCCAGUACCGACCUGGUAGAAAAAGCAACCACGAAGCUAGAGAGAGAGCCAGAGGAGGGAAGAGAGCGCCAGACGAAGGUGAAAGCGAACCACGCAGAGAAAUGCAGGCAAGGGAGCAAGGCGGCAGUUCCCGGAACAAACGUGGCAGAGGGCAAGACGGGCACUCACAGACAGAGGUUUAUGUAUUUUUAUUUUUUAAAAUCUGAUUUGGUGUUCCAUGAGGAAAAGGGAAAAUCUAGGGAACGGGAGUACAGAGAGAAUAAUCCGGGUCCUAGCUCGCCACAUGAACGCCCAGAGAACGCUGGAAAAACCUGAGCGGGUGCCGGGGCAGCACCCGGCUCGGGUCAGCCACUGCCCCACACCGGGCCCACCAAGCCCCGCCCCUCGCGGCCACCGGGGCUUCCUUGCUCUUCUUAUCAUCUCCAUCUUUAUGAUGAGGCUUGUUAACAAGACCAGAGAGCUGGCCAAGCACCUCUAUCUCAGCCGCGCCCGCUCAGCCGAGCAGCGGUCGGUGGGGGGACUGGGAGGCGCUAAUUAAUUGAUUCCUUUGGACUGUAAAAUAUGGCGGCGUCUACACGGAACCCAUGGACUCAUAAACAAUAUAUCUGUUGGGCGUGAGUGCACUGUCUCUCAAAUAAUUUUUCCAUAGGCAAAUGUCAGAGGGUUCUGGAUUUUUAGUUGCUAAGGAAAGAUCCAAAUGGGACCAAUUUUAGGAGGCCCAAACAGAGUCCGUUCAGUGUCAGAAAAUGCUUCCCCAAAGGGGUUGGGAGUGUGUUUUGUUGGAAAAAAGCUUGGGUUAUAGGAAAGCCUUUCCCUGCUACUUGUGUAGACCCAGCCCAAUUUAAGAAUUACAAGGAAGCGAAGGGGUUGUGUAGGCCGGAAGCCUCUCUGUCCCGGCUGGAUGCAGGGGACUUGAGCUGCUCCGGAAUUUGAGAGGAACAUAGAAGCAAAGGUCCAGCCUUUGCUUCGUGCUGAUUCCUAGACUUAAGAUUCAAAAACAAAUUUUUAAAAGUGAAACCAGCCCUAGCCUUUGGAAGCUCUUGAAGGUUCAGCACCCACCCAGGAAUCCACCUGCCUGUUACACGCCUCUCCAAGACACAGUGGCACCGCUUUUCUAACUGGCAGCACAGAGCAACUCUAUAAUAUGCUUAUAUUAGGUCUAGAAGAAUGCAUCUUGAGACACAUGGGUAACCUAAUUAUAUAAUGCUUGUUCCAUACAGGAGUGAUUAUGCAGUGGGACCCUGCUGCAAACGGGACUUUGCACUCUAAAUAUAGACCCCAGCUUGGGACAAAAGUUGCAGUAGAAAAAUAGACAUAGGAGAACACUUAAAUAAGUGAUGCAUGUAGACACAGAAGGGGUAUUUAAAAGACAGAAAUAAUAGAAGUACAGAAGAACAGAAAAAAAAUCAGCAGAUGGAGAUUACCAUUCCCAAUGCCUGAACUUCCUCCUGCUAUUAAGAUUGCUAGAGAAUUGUGUCUUAAACAGUUCAUGAACCCAGAAGAAUGCAAUUUCAAUGUAUUUAGUACACACACAGUAUGUAUAUAAACACAACUCACAGAAUAUAUUUUCCAUACAUUGGGUAGGUAUGCACUUUGUGUAUAUAUAAUAAUGUAUUUUCCAUGCAGUUUUAAAAUGUAGAUAUAUUAAUAUCUGGAUGCAUUUUCUGUGCACUGGUUUUAUAUGCCUUAUGGAGUAUAUACUCACAUGUAGCUAAAUAGACUCAGGACUGCACAUUCCUUGUGUAGGUUGUGUGUGUGUGGUGGUUUUAUGCAUAAAUAAAGUUUUACAUGUGGUGAAUAU